This 324-nucleotide ribosomal RNA is filed under the name Triticum aestivum (bread wheat). Its description in RNAcentral is "partial small subunit ribosomal RNA". The record is from RNAcentral. Lineage: Eukaryota; Viridiplantae; Streptophyta; Magnoliopsida; Poales; Poaceae.
AUGAAACAGUGGCAUUGGAGAGCUGAUGAUACAGGAGGCCGCAUGGUGGCAUCAUGCUGUGAAGUUGUCAUUUUUAUCAUGUAUUUAAGUUUCAUGAAUGUGUCUCUUUUGUUAUGUGGGACUCUGGAACUUUAUUAUGUCUCAUGUGUGUGCGAUUUUGUGUCAUUUAUGACUGGUGAGCGAAGUCAGAGGAAUAAGAACUUUGUUAUGCUUGUUUUGUUGCAAUUUGUCAUUUGUGAUCUUGUGAUGAUCACUAAAGCGUCGUCAUGUUGCUGUCUUGACCUGACGUGCUGCUGUUUGGAGCUGAUGUGCGGCUGUUCCUAG